Molecule: long non-coding RNA, 1859 nt
Organism: Larimichthys crocea (large yellow croaker)
Lineage: Eukaryota; Metazoa; Chordata; Actinopteri; Sciaenidae
Exons: 2
Source: RefSeq, a predicted model, not a curated record
GCUAACUGCUGAAUUAGCCGCGCCUUCAUUGAACAAUAACGACCAAUCAGCGGGCUCGUCGGCCCCACGUGGCCCCGCCCAGCAUCACACCCACACCGGGCAGUAAAGAUCACAAACCCACGGCUCACGGGCUGCAGGCGGACACAUCUGAGGUGCGUUACACUGCCGUAAACAGAGAGCGCCUGUUCCCAUGACGGAGAGGAGGGGCACCGGUUCAAACACCUUGAGGUCAAAGGUCGAAACUCACGCAGAGGUUAUUAUGUUCCCGCAGAAGAUGGAGUUAAUUUGCUCUGGUUUGCAUGGGAAGUUGCACUCUGCUCACUUCCUUCUCCUGCUGAGUCAGAUUUCUUUAAAUGGGGAAAUUGAAAUCCUUUCUCUGAGAUGAGUCAAACAGACAUGUUGUUCUUUUGCUGUUCCUCCUUUACUGUUCCUCCUCAACUUCAAUUUCUCUCUCUUACAGUCAAUAUUUAUUCUACACCAGGUUUCUCUAUGUGUUGGGCUACUUUAAAUGAUUUAUGCAACAGUGUCCUAUAUAGACAGGAUCCAGAUCUACACUGGCAGAGAAAGCUUCCAACAUUUCCAAAUCCUCAUCCUCCUCAUGUCGAUGACUCAUGGUCAAAUUGACAGUUCGCCAAUGACAGUCAAGUCUGAACUACAGACCAGGUGGCGAUGUUAGUGCCAUACAGGCCACGCUCCCUGGAAGCAGUGCUGGAUUCCACACAAGAUUAACAUCCAGUUAUGAGGAUAAAGCUACAAUCCUCCUAGAUCUGCUGGGAACCGGCCACCACCACAACCAGAGGGGGGGAAAAAAACACACAAACAAGGGUGGUGCACACGCAAACACACACUCACCUUAUUUUGCGUCUGAUGAACUUUUAAGACCAUCUCGUUCAAGCUAUUACAUAAUUAGGCUGCACUGUUUUCCUAAGCCUAUGUUAAGUCCCUUUCAUUCCUCUUCAGGCAUGUUUACAGGUUUCUCCCCUGUAUGCCACCUCCUCCUCCUCAGCACUUUACAAUGCACAUUUCAUAACUGUUCUGUGUGGGUUAUAAAACCCUGAAGAUAUUUUAAUAUUGCAAUUGCCAAACUGAAGCAUAAUCCCUAUAUUUAGGCUACAUACAGUCAAAAUAACAGCAGCCUAAUUACAUAAGAUGCAUUCAAAUACAAUCACUCCAGCCGCCCUCGGCUUCUGUCAGUCACAGUGAAGUUGGCAAUUUAUUCUCCCAUGUGGAUUUGGCAUUUUUCUUCUUCGAGCAACACACACACUCACAAAUACACUUCAUGAAUACGUCUCCUCAUUUCUGCAGCAUGUGAUUAUAUCCUGACCUGGAAACAAGAGAAUAACUCAUAGCUUUCAUAGCAAAUGUUGACUAUAUCAUUUUAAAAUAAGACACAUUUUAUUGCAACACUGAUGAAAAAUAACAUGGAAGACACUGAUAAGGGACAAAAACAAAGACUGGCCUGAUUUCCAUCACAAUAUGCAACCAUAUAUACAAUGUGAAAUGUAAAACCUACAAUACCAGCCUUGUGUAUUAAAUUAAGCAAAAACUUUUCUCGUUCACCGCUCCAACCCAUGCUUCGUGUUGCCUCUCUCAGGGAGAAAGAUGAGAAACAAGACAGAAAGAAGGAGAUAGAAGAUGAGACUGCACCCUAAUGUAUUCUCCAUACUUAUUCUUUGAUGUGUCUAUAAUCCCUCACAUGCGUUUUCUAUAUUUGGCUUUGAAGCUCCAUAAACUAAUCCUCAAUUCUUUACCGUAACAAAACUGUUUGAAUUGGCCAGGAUUACACAUAUGCACAGUGGACGAACUCACUGGCUGGCAGAGAAUUACUGAAAUAAAAAGUCAGGUGGUUGAAUUAUGCA